Molecule: long non-coding RNA, 1210 nt
Organism: Xyrauchen texanus (razorback sucker)
Lineage: Eukaryota; Metazoa; Chordata; Actinopteri; Cypriniformes; Catostomidae
Exons: 3
Source: RefSeq, a predicted model, not a curated record
CAAAGCUACAGCAGCAAAAUCAAACUCUGCAGAAGGAGGUGGAGAUCCUGAAGAGUCUGCAUGCUGAAAUUGAGGUUAGAGUCUUUCCAUUUUCUGUUUUGCUUCGGAAUUCAUGUCUGUUUGCUAAAAUUGGUAUCAUUUAUCAAAAUGACUUAUUGUUUCCUGCGAGUUGAAACAAGAAACCAGUACAUAAACUCUCAACUAAAUGCUUUGUCUGUGUGCAAGCUUGAAUGAGGAGGAAAUUCACUUCCCUGCCAAUAAAAGUUUAGAGAUUCUGGGUCCUGAAGAUCUAACCAGCUUACCGAUUCACCAAAAGAAAACUAGAGUUUCGGCACCGAUCACAGUCUGAUACACGGGCAUUCUUGACCCUUCACAUAGCACCAUCAUUGAUUUGUAAUGGAAAUGAAAAUGAGGCUGGAGGGAAAGACUUACCAUCUCUUCAUUGGCACACAUGGUAAAGCUGUAUUAAACUCCUAGAUCCCAUCUGAUUUUCAACAACUCAUGUUGUCUGGAGUGUUUUGUCAACUGAAUUUUCUUGAAAAUAUAUUUUUUCAGUGUUUUUGUCUGCGGAACGAUCCAAAAACACUUUUGCAGUACAGUCUAUUGAAGAGACUGUCUGACAUUUGGUUCAUUUCAUAUACAUUUCCACAUCAUAUCAGUCUAAUGCCUGACAUGUGCUGUCUCUCCCACAGGAAGGGCAAGAAAAUAAAGAAAAUAAAAGGAGUAGAACGAUGACCACACGGCUUUGUAAUUCAUGUCUCAUUGUUGCCCAGUCAACGGCCUCACAAUGGGAACUCACACCUUCCAAUUAUGUGAGGAUUAUGCUGCAUUUACGUAACACGUUUCUGUCAUAUUUUACAUUGUAGUGUUCAUGUUACUGUGUAUUUACUUCAGUAAGUAUUGAGUAAUACUAAUAAACUACAUGUACUUAAUUUGUAUGUAUUUUGUUCAGUCAGCCGGUCAUGAUUGCAGAACAAAUCCUGACAGGGUGAUCAGGUUUUUAUUUAUUUUGCAAUAAUAGUUGGCUGACUGUACAAUAUCCCACUUGUUACAAAGCUGCUUAAUCAAUACAUUUUUGGAUAUGAAAAAUAUGCAGGAACUGUCAAUUAUACAGUUUAACUAUUUAGCCAUGUAGUAAUAAUUUUUAAUACAUGUAACAUGGUCAUUGUAAUUGAAAGUAUCGCCAUUGGACCUUUCUUAUAAUCUUCCA